CCUUGACAUACUAAGAACUUUCCAGAGAUGGAUUGGUGCCUUCGGGAACUUAGAUACAGGUGCUGCAUGGCUGUCGUCAGCUCGUGUCGUGAGAUGUUGGGUUAAGUCCCGCAACGAGCGCAACCCUUUUCCUUAUUUGCCAGCGGGUCAUGCCGGGAACUUUAAGGAUACUGCCAGUGACAAACUGGAGGAAGGCGGGGACGACGUCAAGUCAUCAUGGCCCUUACGGCCAGGGCUACACACGUGCUACAAUGGUCGGUACAAAGGGUUGCUACCUCGCAAGAGGAUGCUAAUCUCAAAAAGCCGAUCGUAGUCCGGAUCGCAGUCUGCAACUCGACUGCGUGAAGUCGGAAUCGCUAGUAAUCGCGGAUCAGAAUGCCGCGGUGAAUACGUUCCCGGGCCUUGUACACACCGCCCGUCACACCAUGGGAGUUUGUUGCACCAGAAGUAGGUAGUCUAACCGCAAGGAGGACGCUUACCACGGUGUGGCCGAUGACUGGGGUGAAGUCGUAACAAGGUAGGCGUAGAUGA
RNAcentral lists this ribosomal RNA (531 nucleotides) under uncultured bacterium. RNAcentral's name for it is "bacterial SSU rRNA". It matches the Rfam family "Bacterial small subunit ribosomal RNA", at positions 979 to 1509 of the family's 1533-position model. The record is from RNAcentral.